AGAGUUUGAUCCUGGCUCAGAACAAACGCUGGCGGCGUGUCUUAAGCAUGCAAGUCGAGCGGCAGGCGCAGCAAUGCGCUGAGAGCGGCGGACUGGUGAGUAACGCGUGGGUAAUCUACCUUUGGCAUGGGGAUAGCCACUAGAAAUAGUGGGUAAUACCGAAUACGUUCCCUGGGGGGAGGUUUCAGGGAAGAAAGGGUGCUACGGCACCGGCCGGAGAUGAGCUCGCGUCCCAUUAGCUUGUUGGUGAGGUAACGGCCCACCAAGGCGAUGAUGGGUAGCCGGCCUGAGAGGGUGUACGGCCACACUGGGACUGAGAUACGGCCCAGACUCCUACGGGAGGCAGCAGCUAAGAAUAUUCCGCAAUGGACGAAAGUCUGACGGAGCGACGCCGCGUGGAUGAUGAAGGCCGAAAGGUUGUAAAGUCCUUUUGCUGGGGAAGAAUAAGUGUGGGAGGGAAUGCCCGCAUGAUGACAUGAACCGGCGAAUAAGCCCCGGCCAACUACGUGCCAGCAGCCGCGGUAACACGUAGGGGGCGGGCGUUGUUCGGAAUUACUGGGCGUAAAGGGCAUGUAGGCGGUCUGGUAAGCCUGGCGUGAAAGGCCACAGCUCAACUGUGGGAUUGCGUUGGGAACUGCUGGGCUUGAGUUAUGGAGAGGGAGCUAGAAUUCCUGGUGUAGGGGUGAAAUCUGUAAUAUCAGGAAGAUACCGAUGGCGAAGGCAGCUCUCUGGCGAUGACUGACGCUGAAGUGCAAAGUGUGGGGAAUAACAGGAUAGAUACCUUGUAACUCCCACUGAAACGAUGUGUCUAU
Molecule: ribosomal RNA, 812 nt
Filed under: uncultured bacterium
Lineage: Bacteria
Description: bacterial SSU rRNA
Rfam family: Bacterial small subunit ribosomal RNA
Source: RNAcentral